GUGCCAGCAGCCGCGGUAAUACGUAGGGGGCAAGCGUUGUCCGGAAUUAUUGGGCGUAAAGCGCGCGCAGGCGGUCAUUUAAGUCUGGUGUUUAAGGCCAAGGCUCAACCUUGGUUCGCACUGGAAACUGGGUGACUUGAGUGCAGAAGAGGAGAGUGGAAUUCCACGUGUAGCGGUGAAAUGCGUAGAUAUGUGGAGGAACACCAGUGGCGAAGGCGACUCUCUGGGCUGUAACUGACGCUGAGGCGCGAAAGCGUGGGGAGCAAACAGGAUUAGAUACCCUGGUAGUCC
RNAcentral lists this ribosomal RNA (291 nucleotides) under uncultured bacterium. RNAcentral describes it as "partial 16S ribosomal RNA". It matches the Rfam family "Bacterial small subunit ribosomal RNA", at positions 505 to 796 of the family's 1533-position model. The record is from RNAcentral.